CGGGACGGGUGAGUAACGCGUGGGUAACCUGCCUCACACUGGGGGAGUAACAGUUAGAAAUAGCUGCUAAUACCGCAUAAGCGCACGGUUCCGCAUGGAACAGUGUGAAAAACUCCGGUGGUGUGAGAUGGACCCGCGUCUGAUUAGCCAGUUGGCGGGGCAACGGCCCACCAAAGCGACGAUCAGUAGCCGGCCUGAGAGGGUGAACGGCCACAUUGGGACUGAGACACGGCCCAA
This 237-nucleotide ribosomal RNA is filed under the name uncultured bacterium. RNAcentral describes it as "partial 16S ribosomal RNA". It matches the Rfam family "Bacterial small subunit ribosomal RNA", at positions 100 to 334 of the family's 1533-position model. The record is from RNAcentral.